UUGCUUCAGCAGCACAAAAACUAAAAUUGGAAUGACACAGAAAAUUAGCAUGGCCCCUGUGCAAGCAUAACACACAAAUUCACGAAGCAUUCCAUAUUUUG
This 101-nucleotide small nuclear RNA is filed under the name Castor canadensis (American beaver). The record is from RNAcentral. Lineage: Eukaryota; Metazoa; Chordata; Mammalia; Rodentia; Castoridae.